GAGACAGGGUCUCACUGUGUCACUCAGGUGGGAGUGCAGUGCCAUGAUCAUAGCCCACUGCUGCCUUGAUCUCCUGAGCUUAAGCGAUCCUCCCGGCCUCAGCCUCCAGAGUAGCUGGAACUACAGGUCUGUCCCUUAACAGCACCCUAGAAGGAGAAUGACAGUAACCUGGAGUUCAUCUCUUUAAAAGAAACACCAGUCAGGGAUGGAGAUGUCUGCUCAUGGAUGAGAAGUUGCUUCUCUAGAAUUCACAUCGUGAACCAUUCAAGGUUUUUCAUCACUGCUCUCCGUCAGCUAUUCAAUCAAGCAUUGAGUUUCUAGAAUCUCUCCCAGAAAUAAAAGCUGACCAUACCCACCUA
Molecule: long non-coding RNA, 359 nt
Filed under: Homo sapiens (human)
Lineage: Eukaryota; Metazoa; Chordata; Mammalia; Primates; Hominidae
Description: HSALNT0296015
Source: RNAcentral